Pelobates cultripes (western spadefoot toad) is the source of this 201-nucleotide non-coding RNA. NCBI's taxonomy places the organism in Eukaryota, Metazoa, Chordata, Amphibia, Anura, Pelobatidae. The record is from the annotation of a GenBank genome assembly.
CUCUUCGCAGAUGACGUUCUGCUCACGAUCACUGAACCCCACACAUCCCUGCCAAAGUUCCAUGCCAUACUACAGGAAUAUAGCAAAUGUUCAUAUUACAAAUUAAACCUUUCUAAGACGCAAGCCAUGGGAGUGGGGAUGGACAGUGCAUACUUGUCGGCAUUAAAAAAACAAUUCUUCUAUGACUGGAGGGAUGACUAC